Molecule: transfer RNA, 77 nt
Filed under: Thalictrum thalictroides
Lineage: Eukaryota; Viridiplantae; Streptophyta; Magnoliopsida; Ranunculales; Ranunculaceae
Description: tRNA-Ile
Source: RNAcentral
AGUUUUAGUUGAGUUCAACUGGUAAAACUUUUGGUUGAUGAAACCAGAUGUUUAGGGUUCAAAUCCCGCAAGCAUUA